RNA transcript from Camelina sativa (false flax), 1796 nucleotides. RefSeq lists it as uncharacterized. The record is from RefSeq and is a predicted model, not a curated record. Lineage: Eukaryota; Viridiplantae; Streptophyta; Magnoliopsida; Brassicales; Brassicaceae.
UGUUAACACAGGGUGCUCCCAAUCGUUACUUAUGGGGAUUUUACUAUUACCUUAAGAAUGCCUUUUUCCCAAGUAUCAUUACCAUGGGUCAAGUUGUUAAAGCAAUUGCCUUUGUCCAAGCUGAUCAAUGACCAUGUGAGAGCGCCUUUUUCUCUUUUUACGCUUUUGUUUGUUUGUGAUUGUGAGAUUCUCAAAGUCUAGCUUAGAAGCUGAUGAUUCUCUUAACUAAUGAUGAACAGGUUUCAUUAUGUCAUAUUCCUAUAUCUGUCUACGACACAUCAGCCCAUUGGAUCAAGCAUCUUCUAAAUGAUUCUCACUUGAAUUUCGUUGCUUGGGCGCUUGAUGGCAUUCUCACCGAUUGGAAAACAGAAAAACAAGGACUCAAUUCUAACGCUGUAAAACGCAUUCACUUUUUACCAUGUGUGAUUAAAUGGUGUAUGUAUUCAGUUAGUUACCUUUUGUUUCUCUAACUCCCAUUCUGUUGUUGUCCUUGUUUUACGAUUAGGUGGCCACAUUUGUUGGAUUAGCCUUGGUAUUGCGUAGUAGUAAGCCUGAUGUUUUUACUACUAUUUUGCGGAUGCUGAGGUGGAGACCUAUGUAUCAAGGCCAGGACACGCUUCCGGUUCUUGUUUGGAUGCUGGCUCAGGUUUCUCUCUUUUUCCCCCGGCCCUUAUGUGAACUAGGACCAAGAGUGUCCUAAUUUGUGCUUUGUUUUCUUAAGUUUUUGAACUGUAAAGUUAAUGGUGACAGGCCACUAGUCGGCAGUUACAGGCGCCGCCGCCCUCGCUCUAUUGAUCUCAUCCUGCAAUUUCUUGAGAUCAUUUUGUCAAAUCCAGAGGCUCAGACCAUACUUGUAAAUCGAGCUGUUAGGGAGGGAGAGCGGCUGAUUCCACCUUCUUCAUUUGAGACCUUGCUGCGGCUUACAUUCCCUGCUUCAUCCGCUAGAGUAAAGUUAAGCAAGCACUAGCUAGUAUUGGAACUUUUAUCAAAGGACCAAUACUGAUCACAAGCAUGCAUGGUCUCUGUAUAUUGUGCACAGUCAACAAAGAGGUUUGAGGCAGUUUAUCCCUUGUUGAAAGAAGUAGCCCUUGCACCAGAGACUGCAACAGGAGAAAAGGCAAUGGAACAGAUAUUCACUUUUUCUUUGAAAUUAGCUGGAGAAGGUGUAAUGUUACAGGAAAUCCUGGUCUAGCCAAGGAAGCUGCAGCAAUCGCUAUCCGGUCUUUGACAGAAAACGUUGAUUGCUUUAAGCACUGGGCUAUUCUCUAUAAGGAUUAUUUAGAAGCUAGCGUUGCUCUUCUUAGAAAGCUUGCAGACGAAUGGAAGGAUCAUUCCCCUAAAUUAUUAUCAUCACCAGGUGAUACUCUCACUGUCAAUCGAGCUAUGAGGAGCUUCAGGCUUAAGAAUGAAAAAGCCAUCACUGAAGGAGGACCCAGUUGUUCACUUUACAAGGAAGCUGACCAGUCGUGCAAACUGAUCUUGGGGAGACUCUCCCGUGAAAGUGGCCGCCUCAAUAUAGCACCCAUUACCGCUGUGGUCCUAGGAGCUGCAUUAGCCGCUGCAGGAGGCGUUGCUGGAGCCGCACUUGCUCUAUGCUUACCACUUGCAUAAUGGGCGGUCACAAAAUAACGCCCAUUUCUUUUUCUUUUUUUUUUGUACAGUUUUUAAUUAACCUCGGCAACUUGUUCAUACAUAUGUAGGUCUAUUCGUUAGGUGUUUCAUUUUGAAUGAUUAUGUUUAACUGCGUGACGUGAUUACUAAUUGAUUAAUUGUAUAUCUAUAUAUACAUUUUUGAA